This 73-nucleotide transfer RNA is filed under the name Tatlockia sp. Its description in RNAcentral is "tRNA-Arg". It matches the Rfam family "tRNA". Rfam says of the family: Transfer RNA (tRNA) molecules are approximately 80 nucleotides in length. Their secondary structure includes four short double-helical elements and three loops (D, anti-codon, and T loops). Lineage: Bacteria; Pseudomonadati; Pseudomonadota; Gammaproteobacteria; Legionellales; Legionellaceae. The record is from RNAcentral.
CUCCUUGUAGCUCAGUGGAUAGAGCAUCCGCCUUCUAAGCGGAGAGUCGUUGGUUCGAACCCAACCAGGGAGG